GCAUUGGUGGUUCAGUGGUAGAAUUCUCACCUUCCAUGCCAGAGACCCAGAUCUGAUUCCAGGCUAAUGCA
Molecule: transfer RNA, 71 nt
Filed under: Loxodonta africana (African savanna elephant)
Lineage: Eukaryota; Metazoa; Chordata; Mammalia; Proboscidea; Elephantidae
Rfam family: tRNA
About the family: Transfer RNA (tRNA) molecules are approximately 80 nucleotides in length. Their secondary structure includes four short double-helical elements and three loops (D, anti-codon, and T loops).
Source: Rfam by way of RNAcentral